RNAcentral lists this transfer RNA (57 nucleotides) under Acalypha ornata. RNAcentral describes it as "partial tRNA-Leu". The record is from RNAcentral. Lineage: Eukaryota; Viridiplantae; Streptophyta; Magnoliopsida; Malpighiales; Euphorbiaceae.
GACCUAAAAAAUCCGUCGACUUUAGAAAUCGUGAGGGUUCAAGUCCCUCUAUCCCCA